UGGGUAAUAGCUCAGUGGUAGAGCAUGUGUUUAGCAUGCACGAGGUCCUGGGUUCAAUCCCCAGUACCUCCA
This 72-nucleotide transfer RNA is filed under the name Camelus bactrianus (Bactrian camel). It matches the Rfam family "tRNA". Rfam says of the family: Transfer RNA (tRNA) molecules are approximately 80 nucleotides in length. Their secondary structure includes four short double-helical elements and three loops (D, anti-codon, and T loops). Further hydrogen bonds mediate the characteristic L-shaped molecular structure. tRNAs have two regions of fundamental functional importance: the anti-codon, which is responsible for specific mRNA codon recognition, and the 3' end, to which the tRNAs corresponding amino acid is attached (by aminoacyl-tRNA synthetases). tRNAs cope with the degeneracy of the genetic code in two manners: having more than one tRNA (with a specific anti-codon) for a particular amino acid; and 'wobble' base-pairing, i.e. permitting non-standard base-pairing at the 3rd anti-codon position. The record is from Rfam by way of RNAcentral. RNAcentral also lists the same sequence under 2 other names. Lineage: Eukaryota; Metazoa; Chordata; Mammalia; Artiodactyla; Camelidae.